GAUGAACGCUGGCGGCGUGCCUAAUACAUGCAAGUCGAGCGAACAGACGAGGAGCUUGCUCCUCUGACGUUAGCGGCGGACGGGUGAGUAACACGUGGAUAACCUACCUAUAAGACUGGGAUAACUUCGGGAAACCGGAGCUAAUACCGGAUAACAUGUUGAACCGCAUGGUUCAACAGUGAAAGACGGUCUUGCUGUCACUUAUAGAUGGAUCCGCGCCGCAUUAGCUAGUUGGUAAGGUAACGGCUUACCAAGGCAACGAUGCGUAGCCGACCUGAGAGGGUGAUCGGCCACACUGGAACUGAGACACGGUCCAGACUCCUACGGGAGGCAGCAGUAGGGAAUCUUCCGCAAUGGGCGAAAGCCUGACGGAGCAACGCCGCGUGAGUGAAGAAGGUCUUCGGAUCGUAAAACUCUGUUAUUAGGGGAGAACAAAUGUGUAAGUAACUAUGCACGUCUUGACGGUACCUAAUCAGAAAGCCACGGCUAACUACGUG
This 497-nucleotide ribosomal RNA is filed under the name uncultured bacterium. RNAcentral's name for it is "partial 16S ribosomal RNA". It matches the Rfam family "Bacterial small subunit ribosomal RNA", at positions 28 to 507 of the family's 1533-position model. The record is from RNAcentral.